CAUAUGAAAUAGCAAAGCAUGGCAAACCAUGUGACGCAAAGCUACAGGGUCUAAAUAUAACGUUUGAAAAUGAGUAACUCUCUAAAGAGCCUUUAGACGAUUAUUUAUCAUCGUUAUGUAAGAUCGCCAGCUACCAAA
RNAcentral lists this non-coding RNA (138 nucleotides) under Clostridiales bacterium. RNAcentral describes it as "c-di-GMP sequence". It matches the Rfam family "c-di-GMP-I riboswitch aptamer". Rfam says of the family: GEMM was predicted in a large-scale screen for bacterial structured RNA regulatory elements. Genes associated with GEMM are involved in a diverse array of functions, including chemotaxis regulation, signal transduction, secretion and chitin. Lineage: Bacteria; Bacillati; Bacillota; Clostridia; Eubacteriales. The record is from RNAcentral.